UAAAAUAUAAUAAAUGUCAAACUGAAAAAUUGUAAGUGGCUCUCGCUUAUGGGAAAGGCGGCCAUAGGAAAACCGAAAAACUAUACUAGCUUCUCGCUUUUCCGGGGGAAUCUUAUGUCCACCCGCAUUUUU
Molecule: long non-coding RNA, 132 nt
Organism: Cotesia glomerata
Lineage: Eukaryota; Metazoa; Arthropoda; Insecta; Hymenoptera; Braconidae
Exons: 4
Source: RefSeq, a predicted model, not a curated record